GAGUGGCGAACGGGUGAGUAACACGUGGGAAACCUACCUCUUAGCAGGGGAUAACAUUUGGAAACAGAUGCUAAUACCGUAUAACAAUGACAACCGCAUGGUUGUUAUUUAAAAGAUGGUUCUGCUAUCACUAAGAGAUGGUCCCGCGGUGCAUUAGCUAGUUGGUAAGGUAAUGGCUUACCAAGGCGAUGAUGCAUAGCCGAGUUGAGAGACUGAUCGGCCACAAUGGGACUGAGACACGGCCCAUACUCCUACGGGAGGCAGCAGUAGGGAAUCUUCCACAAUGGGCGAAAGCCUGAUGGAGCAACGCCGCGUGUGUGAUGAAGGGUUUCGGCUCGUAAAACACUGUUGUAAGAGAAGAAUGACAUUGAGAGUAACUGUUCAAUGUGUGACGGUAUCUUACCAGAAAGGAACGGCUAAAUACGUGCCAGCAGCCGCGGUAAUACGUAUGUUCCAAGCGUUAUCCGGAUUUAUUGGGCGUAAAGCGAGCGCAGACGGUUAUUUAAGUCUGAAGUGAAAGCCCUCAGCUCAACUGAGGAAUUGCUUUGGAAACUGGAUGACUUGAGUGCAGUAGAGGAAAGUGGAACUCCAUGUGUAGCGGUGAAAUGCGUAGAUAUAUGGAAGAACACCAGUGGCGAAGGCGGCUUUCUGGACUGUAACUGACGUUGAGGCUCGAAAGUGUGGGUAGCAAACAGGAUUAGAUACCCUGGUAGUCCACACCGUAAACGAUGAGUGCUAGGUGUUUGAGGGUUUCCGCCCUUAAGUGCCGCAGCUAACGCAUUAAGCACUCCGCCUGGGGAGUACGACCGCAAGGUUGAAACUCAAAGGAAUUGACGGGGACCCGCACAAGCGGUGGAGCAUGUGGUUUAAUUCGAAGCAACGCGAAGAACCUUACCAGGUCUUGACAUCCCUUGACAACUCCAGAGAUGGAGCGUUCCCUUCGGGGACAAGGUGACAGGUGGUGCAUGGUUGUCGUCAGCUCGUGUCGUGAGAUGUUGGGUUAAGUCCCGCAACGAGCGCAACCCUUAUUACUAGUUGCCAGCAUUCAGUUGGGCACUCUAGUGAGACUGCCGGUGACAAACCGGAGGAAGGUGGGGAUGACGUCAAAUCAUCAUGCCCCUUAUGACCUGGGCUACACACGUGCUACAAUGGCGUAUACAACGAGUUGCCAACCCGCGAGGGUGAGCUAAUCUCUUAAAGUACGUCUCAGUUCGGAUUGUAGGCUGCAACUCGCCUACAUGAAGUCGGAAUCGCUAGUAAUCGCGGAUCAGCACGCCGCGGUGAAUACGUUCCCGGGUCUUGUACACACCGCCCGUCACACCAUGAGAGUUUGUAACACCCAAAGCCGGUGGGGUAACCUUCGGGAGCCAG
Molecule: ribosomal RNA, 1371 nt
Filed under: Weissella confusa
Lineage: Bacteria; Bacillati; Bacillota; Bacilli; Lactobacillales; Lactobacillaceae
Description: 16S ribosomal RNA
Rfam family: Bacterial small subunit ribosomal RNA
Source: RNAcentral